CUCCGUUUCACAAUGUAAGUCAUUCUAACAUUUCCCAUAUUCAUAUUGAUGUUAAUGAAUCUAGAUAGAUAUAUAUGUCUAGAUUCAUUAACAUCAAUAUGAAUGUGGGAAAUGCUAGAAUGACUUACAUUGUGAAACGG
Molecule: unclassified non-coding RNA, 140 nt
Filed under: Oryza sativa (Asian cultivated rice)
Lineage: Eukaryota; Viridiplantae; Streptophyta; Magnoliopsida; Poales; Poaceae
Description: partial microRNA MIR455b-54 precursor
Source: RNAcentral